AACGCACAUUGCGCCCUUUGGCAUUCCUUAGGGCAUGCCUGUUCGAGCGUCAUCUAAACCUUCAAGCACCGCUUGAUGUUGGGCGUCUGUCCCGCCUCGGGCGCGGACUCGCCUCAAAAGCAUUGGCGGCCUGUGUGACGGCUUCGAGCGCAGCAGACGCGCGCCUCGUCUCCACGCACCGGCGUCCAGCAAGCCAUACUAAGUUUGACCUCGGAUCAGGUAGGGAUACCCGCUGAACUUAA
Molecule: unclassified non-coding RNA, 242 nt
Filed under: uncultured fungus
Lineage: Eukaryota; Fungi
Description: partial contains 5.8S ribosomal RNA, internal transcribed spacer 2, and large subunit ribosomal RNA
Source: RNAcentral